CCUACGGGAGGCAGCAGUGAGGAAUAUUGGUCAAUGGGCGCGAGCCUGAACCAGCCAAGUCGCGUGAGGGAAGACGGUCCUAUGGAUUGUAAACCUCUUUUGUCGGGGAGCAAAAGACGCCACGCGUGGCGUUCCGAGAGUACCCGAAGAAAAAGCAUCGGCUAACUCCGUGCCAGCAGCCGCGGUAAUACGGAGGAUGUGAGGGUUAUCCGGAUUUAUUGGGUUGAAAGGGUGCGCAGGCGGAAGACAAAGUCAGCGGGAAAAUUCAGAGGCUCACCCUCUUCGAGCCGUUGAAACUGGUUUUCUUGAGUGCGUGAGAGGUAUGCGGAAUGCGUGGUGUAGCGGUGAAAUGCAUAGAUAUCACGCAGAACUCCGAUUGCGAAGGCAGCAUACCGGCGCUCAACUGACGCUCAUGCACGAAAGUGUGGGUAUCGAACAGGAUUAGAUACCCGUCUAGUC
Molecule: ribosomal RNA, 459 nt
Filed under: uncultured bacterium
Lineage: Bacteria
Description: partial 16S ribosomal RNA
Rfam family: Bacterial small subunit ribosomal RNA
Source: RNAcentral